This 301-nucleotide ribosomal RNA is filed under the name uncultured bacterium. Its description in RNAcentral is "partial 16S ribosomal RNA". It matches the Rfam family "Bacterial small subunit ribosomal RNA", at positions 509 to 809 of the family's 1533-position model. The record is from RNAcentral.
CAGUCGCCACGGUAAUACGAAGGGUGCAAGCGUUAAUCGGAAUUACUGGGCGUAAAGCGUGCGUAGGCGGUUUGUUAAGUCUGUUGUGAAAUCCCCGGGCUCAACCUGGGAAUGGCAAUGGAUACUGGCAAGCUAGAGUGUGUCAGAGGAUGGUGGAAUUCCCGGUGUAGCGGUGAAAUGCGUAGAGAUCGGGAGGAACAUCAGUGGCGAAGGCGGCCAUCUGGGACAACACUGACGCUGAGGCACGAAAGCGUGGGGAGCAAACAGGAUUAGAUACCCGCGUAGUCCCUGUCUCUUAUAA